RNAcentral lists this ribosomal RNA (200 nucleotides) under uncultured bacterium. RNAcentral describes it as "partial 16S ribosomal RNA". It matches the Rfam family "Bacterial small subunit ribosomal RNA", at positions 8 to 222 of the family's 1533-position model. The record is from RNAcentral.
AGAGUUUGAUCCUGGCUCAGAAUCAACGCUGGCGGCGUGCCUAACACAUGCAAGUCGAACGAGAAAGUGGAGCAAUCAAUGAGUAAAGUGGCGACCGGGUGAGUAACACGUGACUAACCUACCUUCGAGUGGGGAAUAACCUCGGGAAACCGGGGCUAAUACCGCAUAAUGCCUUUGGGUUAAAGGAGCAAUUCGCUUGA